AAGGGUGCGUAGGCGGCCUGUUAAGUCAGGGGUGAAAGACGGUAGCUCAACUAUCGCAGUGCCCUUGAUACUGAUGGGCUUGAAUUGACUAGAGGUAGGCGGAAUGUGACAAGUAGCGGUGAAAUGCAUAGAUAUGUCACAGAACACCGAUUGCGAAGGCAGCUUACUAUGGUCUUAUUGACGCUGAGGCACGAAAGCGUGGGGAUCAAACAGGAUUAGAUACCCGUAGU
Molecule: ribosomal RNA, 230 nt
Filed under: uncultured bacterium
Lineage: Bacteria
Description: partial 16S ribosomal RNA
Rfam family: Bacterial small subunit ribosomal RNA
Source: RNAcentral